RNA transcript from Cryptotermes secundus, 2809 nucleotides. It is a transcript of the gene named zinc finger protein 333-like, with no coding region annotated. The transcript has 3 exons. The record is from RefSeq and is a predicted model, not a curated record. NCBI's taxonomy places the organism in Eukaryota, Metazoa, Arthropoda, Insecta, Blattodea, Kalotermitidae.
AAUUAACGAGUAGCUGCAGAAUUGGUGGUUCCUCAAGAAGGGUUCAGCUCCAUGAGUAAGUAAGUAAGUACAGGGGUGGAAGCACUAUCUCCAGUCACUUAUUGCAUGCAUUUGUGAAUUAGACAUCUGUUAGUGGCACUGUAGUUUGAGAUGGUGGAAGUGAGAAACAAGUGGAUUGUAAUGACAUGUAUGAAACUGGUGAGUGAUGUUAGUGAUGUAGAUUUUGAGUGGGAAAGCAUGUAACAUUACAAGGGCAGAGGAACUUCUCAGUGUUGGGCUUCUGCUGCAGAAUGCAGCAAAAGGAUAUGGUUUUCUUGAUGUUUGAAUAAUAUGUCAGCAAAGAUAUUUGAAUAUGCAGCAAACAGAAUAAUUAAUUAAACUGCAGGGGGCCUGUGUCUGAAGCAGAAUCUCGGAACCCAGAGAUUCACAUGGUGCUGUGGGUUUGAUAUCUUAAGUCAGUGUUUGACUUAGAUCUGUGUUUGCCUAAAAUGUGUCCCAUGCCUGAGUGCUCGCUUGAUGAUACCACCAUGUUUCCUGAUGAACUGUUUGAUCAGGUGUUGACUGGUAGUACCCUUGCCUGUGGAGACAGGGUUUUCUCCUGCUGUUGCCAUAAUGAUCAGAGCCUUUACAUUGCCCUACUCAGUGACAUACAGAUCUGCUUCAUCUGACAUCAGCUCCCUUUGCCCUGCAGUUUCCAUUCACACCCAUGAUAUCAUCUGGUUGUUAUCAAGUUACCCACCUUCAUAGGGCAGGGUUGCUGGGUAUCUCACCCUGUGGGUCUGCUUAGCAGUGAGUCUUCCAGUGCAGCAAGUGGCUGCAUGACUGCCAGUGACUAGCAAGACUGCUUGUUUAUGGGUAGGAGUGUGCUUUGAAUAACAGCUGUGAUGGACCUGUGCAAACAAAUCAAUUAUGUGGAGUCUGUUGCAUCUACAGUUGUGGUGAAGUUGAAUUGAGUCAGUGUUUAUAAGUGACUGAGUGUGCUUUCUCCCCAGCAGCCAAAGCAGACAAACGUGUCUGUACAUGUGUCUCAUUCCGUUAGCUGACACACACGACACAUCAGAAGCAAUACACUACUAGCCUUGAAACUCAGUAUUCCAUUCUGUUGCAGAAAUGGGGCAGUCCAUAUAAGCACCAAUGUAUAUAUUAUGUGAUAACAGUGUUCUGAUGCUGUGAAGUGCUCUUGGUGUUAAAACUGUAUAGUGCUCUGUACAUAAAUUGGGACAUGUGGUUAUACAGUAGAUGUACAAAUAGUUUUGAGGGUGAAAGUUACAGCAAGAAAGGGAAUGUCAGAAAUUUCACAUUGGACAAACCAAGUCAGAUGCGUUCAUACCUGAUUCAAUGGAAUCUAUUCCAUUCCAGUAGAUAACAUUUUAUAACAAAAUCUAGCAUGUUUGCCUAAAACUGUACAGUUGGAUAUUUGAGGCUGAAGCAGUAUGGGAUCUACACAGUAGACUGCAACAAGUGAGAUCUGCAGUUGACAGGCAGAUGAAAUCAUCACAUAAUACCACAGCUAGUGCUAGUUCAGUUCCAGCUCAGCAGGUUGCUAAAUGAGUGAAAGAAUUCUCAUGUGGAGGGAAAAUGCCCUGUCAUUAGAAUUUUUGAGAACCCUGCAGAUUUGGGGAAAGUACAAGAUAUGUGUAAUGAGAUAUACCCAGCUUCUUCUCAUGAUGCAUAUCCGGCUGUCAGUAUGAAAACUGAGGUAUAUUCAGAUCAAGAAGAAGAGGAGUAUCCUGUCCCACUGACGUUUGUAGGGAUAAAGGGUGAACCUGAGGUUAUUGUGUGUGAACCUGACACUGCUCUUCUCGAGAAGCGGUCAUUUUACUGUGAUGUGUGCAGUAAGUCGUUUAAAAAAUAUUCUGUUCUGAGGAUACAUCAGCGCACGCAUAGUGGAGAGAGGCCAUUUUGCUGUGAAGUGUGUAAUACGACAUUUAAACAGUAUUCUCAUCUGAAGACACAUCUCCGCAUACACAGUGAGGAGCGGCCAUUUUACUGUAAUGUGUGUAAUAAGUCAUUCAAGCACCACUCUUCCCUGAAGAUACAUAAACGCAUACAUAGUGGGGAACGACCAUUUUGCUGUGACAUUUGUAAUAAGUCAUUCAAUGUUCACAGUAAUCUGAAAAGGCAUGAGCGCAUACACAGUUGGUAAUAGCCAUUUUACUGUGAUGUGUUUAAUGUUAUUCAGCCUUCAGACACAUCAAGCCACACAUAGUGAUGUGUGCAGUAAAUAACAGAGCAGUAUAAAUGGGUUUAGGCUGAAUGGGGCAAUAUGCAACUUGCAGCAUGCCACACUAUUGCAAGAUGUAAGUAACACAGGUUUACUCUGUGUUGCAUGAUAUUGGAGUUGCUUGCUAAACUUUCUAACUGAUACAGGAAAUGAACUGAGUCCCACGGUACAAAAUGUCAAUGCAUAUCAAUAUCUGUUUAAUACUGAUUGCUGAAUGUGUACAAGACCCUGUGUAGGUGAGAGCAAGCAGACAUGACGUGACAUUCACCCACAGUUACGGUGUUUACCUCAGCUGCGGCAGCUUGCAAUUAGUAGAGAAUAGUAAUAGUAGAUUAUAGAAACUUAUCAAAAACUUGUAAAUAUAUUAUUGCAGUAUCAUUUGUCAUUUGCUGUAGGUCAUCAGUGCUCUUUUGCUGUCUCUACUGAGUAAGUUUGUUUAUCUGUUAGUUAUGAAUCGACAUAUCAUUUAUAUUGAGUAUAAUGAAAUAAAUCUUUUGGAAUGGUCAAUUAAACAGAAAGUGUGAAUUAGUGAUCAUUAUCUAACUAACUUCAUGGAGCCGAGUUGUUCUUGAGAAGCCACCAAUU